RNAcentral lists this unclassified non-coding RNA (323 nucleotides) under soil metagenome. RNAcentral's name for it is "partial contains 5.8S ribosomal RNA, internal transcribed spacer 2, and large subunit ribosomal RNA". The stretch from base 2 to 120 matches the Rfam family "5.8S ribosomal RNA", at positions 36 to 154 of the family's 154-position model. The record is from RNAcentral.
UAUGAAGAACGCAGCGAAAUGCGAUAAGUAGUGUGAAUUGCAGAAUUCAGUGAAUCAUCGAAUCUUUGAACGUACAUUGCGCCCCUUGGUAUUCCAUGGGGCAUGCCUGUUCGAGCGUCAUUUGUACCUUCAAGCUUUGCUUGGUGUUGGGUGUUUGUCCUGAGGGACUCGCCUUAAAGUAAUUGGCAGCCAGUGUUUGGUUUUGAAGCGCAGCACAAGUCGCGAUUCAAAGCUAUACGCCCGCUUCCACAAGCCUUUUUCACUUUUGACCUCGGAUCAGGUAGGGAUACCCGCUGAACUUAAGCAUAUCAAUAAGCGGAGGA